Molecule: ribosomal RNA, 2661 nt
Filed under: Copidosoma floridanum
Lineage: Eukaryota; Metazoa; Arthropoda; Insecta; Hymenoptera; Encyrtidae
Description: eukaryotic LSU rRNA
Rfam family: Eukaryotic large subunit ribosomal RNA
Source: RNAcentral
ACUUCUCUCCUAGUAGGACGUCGCGACCCGUUGGGUGUCGAUCGACGGCCCGUACGGUAGACUGUCGUGCCAAAUCGGCACGGCAGACCAUCGGUGUCCUUUACCCGAUCGACUGCCCGGCGGUAUUGAAAACUUUUAAUCAAGAUUGGUAUCGAGUCGCACUUUCGAAUGCGUUCGGCUUGGCGAUCGAUCGAGUUUCGCUUGGAUUCAACAGACGUUUAGUGCCGUUGGCGUUGACGCUUGGCUCUUUUGAACGCCAAUGUUCUCGAACCGGCUCGGAAAAGCCUAGCGCUUUUUAAUUAAAAUUACCGGUCAGCGACGCUUUUGCUUUGGAUACUUUCAGGACCUGUCUUGAAACACGGACCAAGGAGUCUAACAUGUACGCGAGUCAUUGGGACUUGUAUUAUUUUAUACAAAUAUAACUAAACCUAAAGGCGCAAUAAAAGUAAAAGUUUGCGAGCUUCGUGCUCCGCGACCUAGGGAGGAUGAUUCGCGUCACGUAUGCGGAUCCGCACUCCCGGGGCGUCUCGUGCUCAUUGCGAGCUGAGGCGCACUAAGAGCGUACACGUUGGGACCCGAAAGAUGGUGAUCUAUGCCUGGUCAGGACGAAGUCAGGGGAAACCCUGAUGGAGGUCCGUAGCGAUUCUGACGUGCAAAUCGAUCGUCGGAACUGGGUGUAGGGGCGAAAGACUAAUCGAACCAUCUAGUAGCUGGUUCCCUCCGAAGUUUCCCUCAGGAUAGCUGGCACUCGUAAUUUCGAGUUUCAUCUGGUAAAGCGAAUGAUUAGAGGCCUUGGGGCCAAAACGACCUUAACCUAUUCUCAAACUUCAAAUGGGUGAGAUCUCUGGCUUGCUUGAAUAUUGAAGCCAUGAGAUUUAUAUACAAAAAAAAAAGAAUCAGAGUGCCAAGUGGGCCAAUAUUGGUAAGCAGAACUGGUGCUGUGGGAUGAACCAAACGCCGAGUUAAGGCGCCAAAGUCGACGCUUAUGGGAUACCAUGAAAGGUGUUGGUUGCUUAAGACAGCAGGACGGUGGCCAUGGAAGUUGGAAUCCGCUAAGGAGUGUGUAACAACUCACCUGCCGAAGCAACUAGCCCUGAAAAUGGAUGGCGCUGAAGCGUCGCGCCUAUACUCGGCUGUCAGCGGCAAGUGGGGCGUUGUAAAAGAAAUUUUUCAACGUCAUGAAGCUCUGACGAGUAGGAGGGUCGCGGCGGUGUGCGCAGAAGGGUCUGGGCGUGAGCCUGCCUGGAGCCGCCGUCGGUGCAGAUCUUGGUGGUAGUAGCAAAUACUCCAGCGAGGCCCUGGAGGACUGACGUGGAGAAGGGUUUCGUGUGAACAGCCGUUGCACACGAGUCAGUCGAUCCUAAGCCCUAGGAGAAAUCCUAUGUCGAUGACGGUGUUUAAAUUUAUUAUUUUCAAUUAUUGAAAGCUCACACCCGUCGGGCGAAAGGGAAUCCGGUUCCUAUUCCGGAACCCGGCAGCGGAACCGCUUAAAAUUCGGGCUCUCGCAAGAGUGUUCGUCGGGGUAACCCAAAGUGACCUGGAGACGCCGACGGGAGGUCCGGGAAGAGUUUUCUUUUCUGCAUAAGCGUUCGAGUUCCCUGGAAACCUCUAGCAGGGAGAUAGGGUUUGGAACGCGAAGAGCACCGCAGUUGCGGCGGUGUCCGGAUCUUCCCCUCGGACCUUGAAAAUCCAGGAGAGGGCCACGUGGAGCUGUCGCGCCGGUUCGUACCCAUAUCCGCAGCAGGUCUCCAAGGUAAAGAGCCUCUAGUCGAUAAAAUAAUGUAGGUAAGAGAAGUCGGCAAAUUGGAUCCGUAACUUCGGAAUAAGGAUUGGCUCUGAGGAGCGGGGCGUGUCGGGCUUGGUCGGGAAGCGGGUGCGGCUGACGUGCCGGGCCUGGGCGAGGUUUAACUUUGCGGUGGUUUGCGCGCGUGCAUCGCGUUCCACGAGGGCCUCUAUCAGUGCGAGUAUCCAGGGUGUGAGAGGACCUUCCCAACAACUAACGGCAGAGGGCAGCACCAUCGUAGGGCUCACAAGGCCUGGUAUGACGAGCGGGUUGCAUCCAACAGGCGAACUGGAUGGACUAUGGAAGAAACAUCACUCCUAGCCUGCCGGGAGGCGGAGCUAACCAUCCAAGGUGUCCGCUUUGUGAACCAGGCCCACCACGAGUCCUUUCCACACCGGACCAUUGAAUUCAUCAAGGGACACCGACGCCCCCAGGACUACAAGGCAUUUGUUCAGCAGAACAUCGCUGAACAACACGACAUUUCGCAGCUUGAGGAGGAGGAUUUAAGCGACGACCAACAAGCAGCGAGGGGCACUACCACUCCCCCUGCCACGUCUUCUCCUUAUCCUCUGAUUGAGUAUCUAGGAUCCCUACCAGAGAUGCCACCAGACACCGGCUACCAAUCGGAGAGGCUUGACGAGAUUGUUCGCUCCGCUUCCAACGGUGCCUCCAACAAGACCGUCGCUGAGAGAUUGUCCCUGUAUCUCAGGGACAUUCUUCCAAGACCACACACUACCAGAGCAGCUCGUCAUCUGUCACCACCAACUACGCUCACCAACAGGCAGAAACGAAGGAAGGACUAUGCUGCAACUCAGAGGCACUGGAAGACCAAUCGGAGCAGGUGCAUCAAUGCCAUCCUUGGGAACAUCGAGGAUGCC